Molecule: long non-coding RNA, 560 nt
Filed under: Ananas comosus (pineapple)
Lineage: Eukaryota; Viridiplantae; Streptophyta; Magnoliopsida; Poales; Bromeliaceae
Description: long non-coding RNA (ACOM_LNC028995)
Source: RNAcentral
UACUAUCCUAUUAAUAGGAUAGGAGCACUUGUCCUAUCAAAUUGUUUUUGAUGAUCGAGAUUCCGAAUCGAUGAUCAAAGCCGUUGAAGUUGAUCUAGAGUAUUUGAAAUAUCUAGAAACUAAAUUUCAUAACUUUUAAAAAUUAUUUACAUGGUGAUCAAAGUGUCGUAAAAUCGACAAUUUUUGAUGGCCUAUAUGAGCCGUUUGCUUGUUUAACGGUGUAGAGCAAUCCAAAUUGCUUGAAUUUUUGCUAAAAAAUUUUUUAUACUAUUUAGAUAAUGUUUGAUAACUCUGAUUAUGAAUUGAGAAAGUCUAACCUCUAUUUUAAGAAGGUUAUUCAUUUACGAUCGUUCAUUUUUUAACUCUUAAGAUGAACUUGAUAAUGAUUUUUAAAUAUUACAAAAUUUGGUUUCUAAACAUUUCUAAUUGUGUAGAUCAAUUUCAACGGUGCCGAUUAUCAAUUUGAAGUUCCGAUCAAUCAAAACGACUUGAUAGGACAAUGGCACCAAUCCUAUUAAUAGGAUAGUAGCCGAACUAUAUAUAUAUAUAUAUAUAUAUAU